GAAACUCAGAAAGCAUAUAGGGAAGCCUAUAGUAUAGACUGUUCUUUCAUGUAAAUUAUCAUGACGACCAAAAACGCCUUCAUCAUCCACAGAACUACCAGACACAGCAUGUGAAUUUUAUCUUUCCAAUUCCGUCUCAUAUGCAGAGGUGGGAGGUACUAAACAGGAAUAAGAAAUUCAAGGGGAUCCUUGUUCAUGAACCUUGAAGCAGGCGAGUAUAUCGAUCAAGAUAUGAUACCUUCAACAUAUCACUGAACCGAAAGUAGAGGGCUUGAGCAUGCACGUGCUGGCCAUUAGCUUUGUUAUUAAUCUAUGGAAUACGUAAAUCUGAACCAUGCCCCGGAUGAAAGCUGAGAAACUGAGACAAUAUUAUGAAGCGAAUAAAAUUUAUUAAGCCGAGGAUAGAUACAACCAUGUCUCUCACGUGCACCCAAAGAAAAAAAAAAAAGAGUGAAAUGCAUAAGAUGUAGGAAUGACCAAUCAGGUUAAUCGACUUGAUUCAGAGCAGACUAUUAUUUCGAGGGAACAUAAAAUUGUCAAGAGAAGGAAGAAAUAGCACAAAUAGCUCGAAGGUAGGGACUCAGUAAAGGUAAAAAGCAAAGAAAAACACUAUCAAAAAAGAAAAAUCAAGGGGUAAAGGUCUCGUGUAUAUACGAGUUCCCCUGCUUCCUCUACGCAUAUGCAAAUGGAUUGCCAGACGUAUCAAACAUUGUCCCUAACCAUUAGCUUAGACCAGCGGGACAAU
RNAcentral lists this unclassified non-coding RNA (745 nucleotides) under Hevea brasiliensis (rubber tree). The record is from RNAcentral. Lineage: Eukaryota; Viridiplantae; Streptophyta; Magnoliopsida; Malpighiales; Euphorbiaceae.